Molecule: ribosomal RNA, 253 nt
Filed under: uncultured bacterium
Lineage: Bacteria
Description: partial 16S ribosomal RNA
Rfam family: Bacterial small subunit ribosomal RNA
Source: RNAcentral
UACGUAGGGUGCGAGCGUUAAUCGGAAUUACUGGGCGUAAAGCGUGCGCAGGCGGUCCGCAAAGUCUGAUGUGAAAGCCCCGGGCUCAACCUGGGAACUGCAUUGGAAACUAACGGGCUCGAGUGUGGCAGAGGGGGGUGGAAUUCCACGUGUAGCGGUGGAAUGCGUAGAGAUCUCCAAGAACACCUAUUGCGAAGGCAGCCAGCUGGGACCAUAUUGACGCUGAGGCUCGAAAGCAUGGGGAGCAAACAGG